Molecule: long non-coding RNA, 3367 nt
Filed under: Sus scrofa (pig)
Lineage: Eukaryota; Metazoa; Chordata; Mammalia; Artiodactyla; Suidae
Description: lncRNA (ENSSSCG00000062983.1)
Source: RNAcentral
GGAGAGCAUUCUGUCAGCUAUUUUAGAGCCACAUUUGGGUAAAUUCAUGAGACUGAGAAUAAAGGCUCAGAACAAAGGAAGAAGGAUCCUGGUAUAAACAGACUUGGGAGAGAAGAGUGGCAGCAAAGAAGGUCAACAAAGUUUGAGUGAUCAGACAUAGGAAAUCUACAUGGGAUCUGAGCUGAAGCUUUUUCUCGCCGUCAAGCUAAGGAUUUUCAUCAGCUUCCAUCCUCCUGGGGAGGAGGAACUGAGUGUAUCACUUGUCAUCUAUCCUAUAGAAACAUGAAUUAGUUAUCUACGUGGCAUGUGUGUAUAGUUAUUGCCCCAACCGGAUUAUUAAGUGAUUUUUAUGAAUCUCCUUGUCACCUUCUCAAAGUCCACAGGUAGAGAACCCUUGCAGCUGGUGGGCAGCUUCUCUGGCUGUUGCAGCCGGAGCUCAUGUCCCGGGUUAACAAAGUCUGUGUCUCUCACUGAAGGGCGUCCUGCUCCAAACAACUUUCAGGACCCGUAUUUUAAAACAAGCAGCUCGGUUUCUCGAGAAUGACAGCCAUGUGCACGAAUAUAAAAGAUCCCUCUGGCCCGUGGAUCGAGAGGAAACUUAGGCUUAGUCCAAACUCCUGAAAGCUGUCCCGUGCUCUUUCAGCCUCUGCGGUACUCCAGCUGCAGCCCUGGCCGUGGUCCAGGGCCUGUGUACUUCGGUGUCGCUGCCCAGGCUGCCACCUCCACCCCAUUGGCCUGCCCUUUGUCGUCCGUGUGGUCAGUGCUCAUCCAAAGAGCUGAGCUUCACGCGGCCCAGGCAUUCUCGGGGUUGCCCACCGUCACCUCGGUUCCCCAGCUGCCGUGUCUCGCCCGUGGGGUAUUUUCCCUUUUUUCCACCGUCUAUGUCAGUUGGUUUCUCUUGCUAGAUUCUGUCCCGGCAGGUUAUAAGCUCCUUCAGAGUAGUAAUCACACCACACGUCUUCACGACCCCAGGUUUUAGAACAUUGCCGGGCGACUAGCAGGCACGCCCUGCUUUAUUUAGCUAUUUAUUCAUUCAUCAAGUGCUUAAGCCCCCAUGGUUAUUUCAUCCAGGGACAUAUGAAUAAGAGUAAUUAUUAAAAGACUCUACAGGCAGUCGAUACGUACGGUGUUCGGUCACUAAGUCGGGAGUGGCUGGACGUGGAAACAUGUGACCCAUUAGUCUGUCUGCAUCACAGUUAGUUGUAGAUACUUUUUUAGAAUGCAGACUCCUGAGCCCCGUCUCGGACACAAUCAGAAUCUCCAGGCAUAAAAUUCAGAAACCUGUCCUUGGAUUCCAAAGCAUAUAGACUUCAGAAUUCCAUGGAUCUGAGCCAGGUUCCGCCUCUACUGAUUAUUAGGUAUAUGACCUUGGAAAAUGAACCUCUCAGAGAGCGUCCGUUUGCUCACUUAGAAAUGAAUAUACAAUGUCUCCUUUUGGAGCGGUGGCAAGGGCCAUAAAGUUAGAGAUGUUGAAACAACUGUGCCCGGUAUGCAGACGUGCCUGGUCCUAUUGACUCCUUCCUUGUCCUCCUGCAGCUUCCCUUUGCUCCUCGAGGUCUUUUCUCCAUCAGAAUACCUGAAAACAAGCACCACACCUGUCCCCCGCCUCUGUGCAGAAUCCAAACAAACUUGUCAUCAUCGCAAUAAUCUUAGUUUGAUGGCCUGACCUCUGUACACGCACUGAAGUGUCCAUUUUACUCGGUCAUCUCCUCAGCGCUCAUCCUCAUUUGACAUGCUUUGUAGUCACUGUCCACUCAGGACACCAAGACUUCCCCUGCGACAGGAGCCGUCGGCGUUUGUUUUGUUACUUCCCUGUUAAUUCGAGGGACUGAGUUGACAGUUCACUUUCCCUCCUCUUCCAUGGAAAAGCAGAUAUUUUCAUAAUAUCGCCAUUAUUAUUGCAAGAAUCUGAUUCCAAAAUAUGGAAACGUUUCUUCCAAUAUACAGCUCAAAAAAUACUCUUGCCUUUAGUUUGGUUUGCCUUUGUUUGAAAAAGUGUGGGGGCUGUAUUCACUUUGAAAUCGUCGGAAGAGAGAAAAUAGAUCAAGUUCAAAAUUCCGUUUUGAACGUGGUCGAGGUCUCAGUGAGGCCGGAGGAAGUCGGGAGCGCGGUAGCGACUCCGCGCGGGAGCGCGAGGGACUGGCUGCUCGGGUAACUGACGUGCUCCAGUGUUAGUUCUUUUCACGCGGCCGCCGUGGGUUCUUAGCCGACGGUUGAUGGUACUGCCUCGCUGGUUUCUCCAGAUGAGGUUUGCUCUUAGAGUCUGCAGCCUUCCGGGGAGUAUUCCUGUAAAAUACACUAAAUGUACGGCGUGAAUUGUGGGGAAGUUGUAGUACCGAUUUCAAAUGGGGAAAACCAACCUUACUGUAAAAGGGCCAAAGAUACCAGGAAACCUGAGAGAAGGACAUUCUGUUUGACCCUUUAAUACGUCCAGGCGACAGCUUCACUCCGACGCGGUCUGAAGGAGAAGCGUGCGCUUUGCCCUGCCUUCCGGUUUGUCUCUACUUAUGUUCUUACUGCAGCCUCUUCACUCCUAACUUACCUGUUAAAUCAGAUUCCAUAGAUAGCCAAGCAAAUAUUUGCCAAUUACUGUGCACCUAUUGCACCUCACCGGAUCUUUCCGCGGACCUAACCGGAUCUUUCCGUGGUCCUCUGCAGUCCACUUGCAUUCAGGCUGUUCUUUCCAUCAGUAAUCUUUCCCCUUGUACCACAUGAUGCUGAGCAAAUUAAGAUUCAGUGAGUGCAAAAUUGGUCUUAGAAGUCUUGAAUUUUAAGAACACUAAGUUUCUUUCUGGAUAGAGGCAUGCAAACCUGUGAUUUUAUAAUUUCAAUCAAAUUCUGCAAAUUCUGCCCUCCUAGAAACCCUGCAGUAGAGGCCGCCCCCCGCGCCCCCCAUCCCUGCGCUUGGUUUUUGAAGACGAACUUGCAACGUUGCAUUUAAAAUGUAGCGUUUCUGGAGUUCUCUUGCAGUGAGGUGGGGUAAGGAACUGGUGCUGUCAUUGCAGCAGCUUGGGUCGCUGCUGUGGUGCCGGUUCCGUCCCUGACCCGGGAACUUCCACGUGCACCGCCAAUGUGGCCUAAAAACAAAAGCUAAAUAAAGUGCAGCGUUUCCUCCUGGCAUGAGGUGUGCAGGUACCUGUUGGGUUGUCCUCGAGUCCAGCUCAACUGUGGGUAUACCUUCCUUUAGCCAUGCAAACCCAGCCUAAUCCUUCUAUUCUGUUUGUUCCUUCCCUAGCACAUGCUCCAACGUUAGUUGUUUUCAACCAUCCUCAUAUGCCUCAGGAGCCCCAUCCAACCAUCUCCCUCAAUGCGGAAACUUCUAUUAGUUUUUUUUGUUUUGAUUUAUGGAAGUAAUACAUGCUUAUUG